UUAAACUGAAAGUGCCAAGACCCUACAUC
RNAcentral lists this small RNA (29 nucleotides) under Bombyx mori (domestic silkworm). RNAcentral describes it as "ovarian small RNA-36303". The record is from RNAcentral. Lineage: Eukaryota; Metazoa; Arthropoda; Insecta; Lepidoptera; Bombycidae.